Molecule: transfer RNA, 74 nt
Filed under: Ophiarachnella gorgonia
Lineage: Eukaryota; Metazoa; Echinodermata; Ophiuroidea; Amphilepidida; Ophiodermatidae
Description: tRNA-Arg
Source: RNAcentral
UAGGGAGUAGUUUAAAGAAAACAAAUAGCUUCGAACUAUUAAAUCUUAGUUUAAUAUAAACCUAAGCCCCCUAU